GAUGAACGCUGACAGAAUGCUUAACACAUGCAAGUCAACUUGAAUUUGGGUUUUUAACUUAGGUUUGGGUGGCGGACGGGUGAGUAACGCGUAAAGAACUUGCCUCACAGCUAGGGACAACAUUUGGAAACGAAUGCUAAUACCUAAUAUCAUGAUAAUAGGGCAUCCUAUAAUUAUGAAAGCUAUAAGCGCUGUGAGAGAGCUUUGCGUCCCAUUCGCUAGUUGGAGAGGUAACGGCUCACCAAGGCGAUGAUGGGUAGCCGGCCUGAGAGGGCGAUCGGCCACAAGGGGACUGAGACACGGCCCUUACUCCUACGGGAGGCAGCAGUGGGGAAUAUUGGACAAUGGACCGAGAGUCUGAUCCAGCAAUUCUGUGUGCACGAUGAAGUUUUUCGGAAUGUAAAGUGCUUUCAGUUGGGAAGAAACAAAUGACGGUACCAACAGAAGAAGUGACGGCUAAAUACGUG
Molecule: ribosomal RNA, 467 nt
Filed under: uncultured bacterium
Lineage: Bacteria
Description: partial 16S ribosomal RNA
Rfam family: Bacterial small subunit ribosomal RNA
Source: RNAcentral